UACGUAGGUGGCAAGCGUUGUCCGGAAUUAUUGGGCGUAAAGCGCGCGCAGGUGGUUUCUUAAGUCUGAUGUGAAAGCCCCCGGCUCAACCGGGGAGGGUCAUUGGAAACUGGGAGACUUGAGUGCAGAAGAGGAAAGUGGAAUUCCAUGUGUAGCGGUGAAAUGCGUAGAUAUAUGGAGGAACACCAGUGGCGAAGGCGACUUUCUGGUCUGUAACUGACGCUGAGGCUCGAAAGCAUGGGGAGCAAACAGG
Molecule: ribosomal RNA, 253 nt
Filed under: uncultured Bacilli bacterium
Lineage: Bacteria; Bacillati; Bacillota; Bacilli
Description: partial 16S ribosomal RNA
Rfam family: Bacterial small subunit ribosomal RNA
Source: RNAcentral